UACAGAGGGUGCGAGCGUUGUCCGGAAUCACUGGGCGUAAAGGGCGCGUAGGUGGCGGCCCAAGUCUGUGGUGAAAGCUCGAUGCUUAACAUCGAGUCGGCCACGGAGACUGGGUGGCUCGAGCACUGUAGGGGCAGAUGGAAUUCCGGGUGUAGCGGUGGAAUGCGUAGAGAUCCGGAAGAACACCGGUGGCGAAGGCGGUCUGCUGGGCAGUUGCUGACACUGAUGCGCGACAGCGUGGGGAGCAAACAGG
This 253-nucleotide ribosomal RNA is filed under the name uncultured bacterium. RNAcentral's name for it is "partial 16S ribosomal RNA". It matches the Rfam family "Bacterial small subunit ribosomal RNA", at positions 524 to 776 of the family's 1533-position model. The record is from RNAcentral.